CCUACGGGAGACAGCAGUGGGGGAUAUUGGACAAUGGGGGGAACCCUGAUCCAGCGACGCCGCGUGAGUGAAGAAGUAUUUCGGUAUGUAAAGCUCUGUCAGCAGGGAAGAAAGCAAUGACGGUACCUGACCAAGAAGCCCCGGCUAACUACGUGCCAGCAGCCGCGGUAAUACGGAGGAUGCGAGCGUUAUCCGGAUUUAUUGGGGUUAAAGGGUGCGCAGGCGGAAGAUCAAGUCAGCGGUAAAAUUGAGAGGCUCAACCUCUGCGAGCCGUUGAAACUGGUUUUCUUGAGUGAGUGAGAAUUAUGCGGAAUGCGUGGUGUAGCGGUAGAAUGCAUAGAUAGCAGGCAGAACUCCGAUUGGGAAGGCAGCAUACCGGCGCUCAACUGACGCUCAUGCACGAAAGUGUGGGUAUCGAACAGGAUUAGAUACCCUAGUAGUC
This 442-nucleotide ribosomal RNA is filed under the name uncultured bacterium. RNAcentral's name for it is "partial 16S ribosomal RNA". It matches the Rfam family "Bacterial small subunit ribosomal RNA", at positions 338 to 795 of the family's 1533-position model. The record is from RNAcentral.